UAGCAAAACUUUGAGUGUUGCUUGUUCC
This 28-nucleotide non-coding RNA is filed under the name Rattus norvegicus (Norway rat). The record is from RNAcentral. Lineage: Eukaryota; Metazoa; Chordata; Mammalia; Rodentia; Muridae.